Molecule: ribosomal RNA, 125 nt
Filed under: Erythranthe guttata (spotted monkey flower)
Lineage: Eukaryota; Viridiplantae; Streptophyta; Magnoliopsida; Lamiales; Phrymaceae
Source: RNAcentral
GGGUGCGAUCAUACCAGCACUAAUGCACCGGAUCCCAUCAGAACUCCGAAGUUAAGCGUGCUAGGGCGAGCAUGAGAGUAGUACUAGGAUGGGUGACCCCCUGGGAAGUCUUCGUGUUGCACCCC